GACAGAGGGUGCAAACGUUGUUCGGAAUUACUGGGCGUAAAGCGAGUGUAGGCGGUUUCCUAAGUCAGGUGUGAAAAGCCCCGGGCUCAACCCGGGAAGUGCACCUUGAAACUGGGAGGCUAGAGUAUCGGAGAGGUUGGUGGAAUUCUCGGUGUAGCGGUGAAAUGCGCAGAUAUCAGGAGGAACACCGGUGGCGAAGGCGGUUCUCUGGGCAGUUACCUGACGCUGGAGGACGAAAGUG
Molecule: ribosomal RNA, 241 nt
Filed under: uncultured bacterium
Lineage: Bacteria
Description: partial 16S ribosomal RNA
Rfam family: Bacterial small subunit ribosomal RNA
Source: RNAcentral